This 252-nucleotide ribosomal RNA is filed under the name uncultured bacterium. RNAcentral describes it as "partial 16S ribosomal RNA". It matches the Rfam family "Bacterial small subunit ribosomal RNA", at positions 524 to 775 of the family's 1533-position model. The record is from RNAcentral.
UACGUAGGGUGCUAGCGUUGUUCGGAAUUAUUGGGCGUAAAGCGCGUGUAGGUGGUUAAUUAAGUCGGGUGUGAAAUCCCUGGGCUCAACCGAGGAAGUGCAUCCGAAACUAAUUAGCUGGAGUAUGGUAGAGGAAGGUGGAAUUCCUAGUGUAGAGGUGAAAUUCGUAGAUAUUAGGAGGAAUACCGGUGGCGAAGGCGGCCUUCUGGACCAUUACUGACACUGAGACGCGAAAGCGUGGGGAGCAAACAG